UUGAACGCUGGCGGCAGGCCUAACACAUGCAAGUCGAGCGGAUGAAGGGAGCUUGCUCCUGGAUUCAGCGGCGGACGGGUGAGUAAUGCCUAGGAAUCUGCCUGGUAGUGGGGGAUAACGUCCGGAAACGGGCGCUAAUACCGCAUACGUCCUGAGGGAGAAAGUGGGGGAUCUUCGAACCUCACGCUAUCAGAUGAGCCUAGGUCGGAUUAGCUAGUUGGUGGGGUAAAGGCCUACCAAGGCGACGAUCCGUAACUGGUCUGAGAGGAUGAUCAGUCACACUGGAACUGAGACACGGUCCAGACUCCUACGGGAGGCAGCAGUGGGGAAUAUUGGACAAUGGGCGAAAGCCUGAUCCAGCCAUGCCGCGUGUGUGAAGAAGGUCUUCGGAUUGUAAAGCACUUUAAGUUGGGAGGAAGGGCAGUAAGUUAAUACCUUGCUGUUUUGACGUUACCAACAGAAUAAGCACCGGCUAACUUCGUG
This 483-nucleotide ribosomal RNA is filed under the name uncultured bacterium. RNAcentral's name for it is "partial 16S ribosomal RNA". It matches the Rfam family "Bacterial small subunit ribosomal RNA", at positions 30 to 507 of the family's 1533-position model. The record is from RNAcentral.